CUUCCAUCUUGUCUCCCGCCUCUUCAAUGUGUUCCGAGAUAGAAGAUUAAAGCUGGACUUUAUUCUUCAAGAUUGUGCCACGCCAUGACCUGUAGUCCUGGGUCCUGAAGUAAUAUUAGAAACAUGAAAUUGUGAAUUUGUAUCUACUCAUAUAUAAAGACCCACUAAAUUACUCAAUCAGUAUUUAUA
Phascolarctos cinereus (koala) is the source of this 189-nucleotide non-coding RNA. The record is from RefSeq and is a predicted model, not a curated record. NCBI's taxonomy places the organism in Eukaryota, Metazoa, Chordata, Mammalia, Diprotodontia, Phascolarctidae.